UGAAAUCCAGGUUCGACUCCCGGCUGUGGAACUUACCUUUUAAAUAUUGGAAUUCUUUUUUUAAAAUAAAAUUUUCCAAUUAUCAUUAUUAUUCUGGAUAAUAAAAAAUACUAAUUCAUUUUCUCCACUAUUUUCCCUAUUCUUUUACCUUUAUACUACUUUUCCAUGGUUUUAGGUCUUACAAAAUUAAUGACUUAUUGUUCGAUUGAAAAUGAAAAGUUUCUUUAACAAUUUAUAAUAAUGUUAUUUAUUAUAUCUUUGUUUACUUUUAAACAUUUACGAAUGGUCAUUUGUCCAUACCUAAUUUUUUCACAUUUUAUAAAAUACAUUAAAUGUGAACUUUUAAGUCUUCAAAUAAUAAAGUGUUUUGUUCUUCGGUUAUGCGCAUUGAUUNAGGAAGCUGGUAGAUGUGUGUACCAACUAAACAGUCAUAAUUCAUGGAAAAAUUUGAGAUAUAAGAUAUUGACUAAUAUCACUAUGUUGUGCACACCAUAACAUUUAAAAUAUAAUAUCUGACAAUACAAGUAGACGCUUUACGGAAACACAGUUCCUUGCACACCUCACAAUUCCACUAGAGUUUCACAAGUCACCAUCACACAUAUAGCCUCAUUUCCAUUGAGGGAUCGCAUGGCGAUAACAAAUAUCUCCACCUACAAAAUUUUAUUGUCAAGAUAAAAGAGGUAAGGUAGAAAUGUCGAACAGAAGAUCGUGGUUUGAUGCCACCAGUACGGUCUGAGAAGAUGUCCAUUCUUCGUUGCUCACCACCUUGGUCUUCAAUUGGGAUCUAAUUGAUUAAACAGUCCCAGAAACGACUAGUAGAUUGAUUUUGGACAAAGCUACGGUAAUUUAGAAAUUAAUUCUACCUCUUUCAAUUAGUUUCAUUUAACGUUGUAUUUUUAGUUUCUUUAACCGUUAGAAAUGUAUGGUCAUAUUUUUUUUAUAUAUUUAUUCAAUAAAUCACAUAUAUCUUUUAUCUCAUGGAAAAUAUAUUAUUGAGAAAGGAAAAAUAAAAUCAUUUGCAAAAAUGUUGUCAGUUUGUAUGAAUGCAAAAAUAAGUGAUAUCAUUGAAAACCUUCAAAAUGAUAAAUUUUAGCCCGAUGCAAUGCACUAGUUGGAAACAUAAUUUAAGCAAUUUUCACUAUACCUUCAUUUCAAAGAAUCCGUAGUAGCACACCUGGUUAAUUUCGUGUUUAAAAUUCGGUUCGACUCCCGGCUGCCGAAAUUACCUUUUAAAUAUUGGAAUUCUUUUUUAAAAAAUAAAAUUUUCCAAAAAUCAUUAUUGUUUUGGAUAAUAAAAAAUACUAAUUCAUUUUCUCCACUAUUUUCCUUUUUCUUUUACCUUUAUACUACUUUUCCAUGGUUUUAGGCCUUACAAAAUAUAUGACUUAUUGUUUGACUGAAAAUGCAAAGUUUCUUUAACAAUUUAUAAUAAUGUUAUUUAUUAUAUCUUUGUUUACUUUUAAACAUUUACA
This 1472-nucleotide long non-coding RNA is filed under the name Vigna radiata. RNAcentral's name for it is "long non-coding RNA (VRAD_LNC004963)". The record is from RNAcentral. Lineage: Eukaryota; Viridiplantae; Streptophyta; Magnoliopsida; Fabales; Fabaceae.